ACAUCAAAGUCGGAGGGGUAAAUAGUGUAGCAAUACAUUAUGAGACCAGCAAAUGGGUGCGGAACACGUACGCAACCUUCCUUAGAGCGGGGAAUAGCCCAGAGAAAUUUGGAUUAAUACCCCCAUAGUAUUUAGAGAAGCAUUUUCUCUUUAUUAAAGAUUUAUCACUAUAAGAUGGGCGUGCGGCUGAUUAGGUAGUUGGCGGGGUAACGGCCCACCAAGCCUACGAUCAGUAGCUGAUGUGAGAGCAUGAUCAGCCACACGGGCAAUGAGACACGGGCCCGACUCCUACGGGAGGCAGCAGUAAGGAAUAUUGGUCAAUGGACGCAAGUCUGAACCAGCCAUGCCGCGUGGAGGAUGAAGGUCCUCUGGAUUGUAAACUUCUUUUAUUUGGGAAGAAAUGUAGACAUUCUUGUUUACUUGACGGUACCAGAUGAAUAAGCACCGGCUAACUCCGUGCCAGCAGCCGCGGUAAUACGGAGGGUGCAAGCGUUAUCCGGAUUCACUGGGUUUAAAGGGUGCGUAGGCGGGCAGGUAAGUCAGUGGUGAAAUCUUCAAGCUUAACUUGGAAACUGCCAUUGAUACUAUCUAUCUUGAAUAUUGUGGAGGUUAGCGGAAUAUGUCAUGUAGCGGUGAAAUGCUUAGAUAUGACAUAGAACACCGAUUGCGAAGGCAGCAGGCUAGACAGGCAUCGACGCUGAGGCUCGAAAGCGUGGGGAUCGAACAGGAUUAGAUACCCUGGUAGUCCACGCCCUAAACGAUGAUUACUCGACAUACGCGAUACACUGUGUGUGUCCAAGCGAAAGCAUUAAGUAAUCCACCUGGGAAGUACGACCGCAAGGUUGAAACUCAAACGAAUUGACGG
RNAcentral lists this ribosomal RNA (865 nucleotides) under uncultured bacterium. RNAcentral's name for it is "bacterial SSU rRNA". It matches the Rfam family "Bacterial small subunit ribosomal RNA", at positions 53 to 916 of the family's 1533-position model. The record is from RNAcentral.